This 473-nucleotide ribosomal RNA is filed under the name uncultured bacterium. Its description in RNAcentral is "bacterial SSU rRNA". It matches the Rfam family "Bacterial small subunit ribosomal RNA", at positions 328 to 794 of the family's 1533-position model. The record is from RNAcentral.
UAUCCAGACUCCUACGGGAGGCAGCAGUAGGGAAUCUUCCACAAUGGGCGAAAGCCUGAUGGAGCAACGCCGCGUGGGUGAAGAAGGUCUUCGGAUCGUAAAACCCUGUUGUUAGAGAAGAAAGUGCGUGAGAGUAACUGUUCACGUUUCAACGGUAUCUAACCAGAAAGCCACGGCUAACUACGUGCCAGCAGCCGCGGUAAUACGGAGGAUGCGAGCGUUAUCCGGAUUUAUUGGGUAUAAAGGGUGCGUAGGCGGGACCUUAAGUCAGCGGUAAAAUUGCGGUGCUCAACGCCGUAGAGCCGUUGAAACUGGGGUUCUUGAGUGAGCGAGAAGUAUGCGGAAUGCGUGGUGUAGCGGUGAAAUGCAUAGAUAUCACGCAGAACCCCGAUUGCGAAGGCAGCGCACCGGCGCCCUACUGACGCUCAGGCACGAAAGCGUGGGUAUCGAACAGGAUUAGAUACCCUAGUACA